AGUGGGAAUCUUGCACAAUGGACGAAAGUCUGAUGCAGCGACGCCGCGUGAGGGAUGAAGGCUCUCGGGUCGUAAACCUCUGUUGACAGGGAAGAAUAACUGACGGUACCUGUCGAGGAAGCCUCGGCUAACUCCGUGCCAGCAGCCGCGGCAAGACGGGGGAGGCUAGCGUUGUCCGGAAUGACUGGGCGUAAAGCGCGUGUAGGCGGGAUAUUAAGUCAGCGGUGAAAGCCCCUCGCUCAACGAGGGAACGGCCGCUGAUACUGGGAUUCUUGAGGGCAGGAGAGGAGAGCGGAAUUGCCGGUGUAGCGGUAAAAUGCGUAGAAAUCGGCAAGAACACCCGUGGCGAAGGCGGCUCUCUGGACUGCUCCUGACGCUGAGACGCGAAAGCUAGGGUAGCGAACGGGAUUAGAAACCCGAGUAGUCC
Molecule: ribosomal RNA, 427 nt
Filed under: uncultured bacterium
Lineage: Bacteria
Description: bacterial SSU rRNA
Rfam family: Bacterial small subunit ribosomal RNA
Source: RNAcentral